Molecule: small nuclear RNA, 287 nt
Filed under: Mesocricetus auratus (golden hamster)
Lineage: Eukaryota; Metazoa; Chordata; Mammalia; Rodentia; Cricetidae
Description: 7SK RNA
Rfam family: 7SK RNA
About the family: 7SK was discovered as an abundant small nuclear RNA in the mid-70s but a possible function has only recently been suggested.
Source: Rfam by way of RNAcentral
AUAUUAGGGCAAUCUGGCUAUGCCAUCUGUCAUCGCUUGGAUCGCCAGGGUUGAUUUGGCUGACCUGGCUGGCUAGGUGUGUAUCCCUCCUGAAGUUGUAUCCUCAGUUGAAGAGGGCAAUCUUCCAUGAAUAGAGGAGGAUCAGUCUUCAGUCAAGUGUGUAUGAGUAGCUGUGCUCCCCUGGUAGAACCUCCAAACAAGCUCUCAAGAGUUCUAAGUCCUGCUAGCUUCCAGUAUUUGUAAAUAAAGUUUUAUUCUAACACAGUUGUGUUCAUUUGUUUAUGUAA